Molecule: ribosomal RNA, 253 nt
Filed under: uncultured bacterium
Lineage: Bacteria
Description: partial 16S ribosomal RNA
Rfam family: Bacterial small subunit ribosomal RNA
Source: RNAcentral
UACAGAGGUGGCAAGCGUUGUUCGGAAUUACUGGGCGUAAAGGGCGCGUAGGUGGCCUUUUGAGUCAGACGUGAAAUCCCCCGGCUUAACCUGGGAACUGCGUCUGAUACUGGAAGGCUUGAGUUCGGGAGAGGGAUGUGGAAUUCCAGGUGUAGCGGUGAAAUGCGUAGAUAUCUGGAGGAACACCGGUGGCGAAGGCGGCAUCCUGGACCGAAACUGACACUGAGGCGCGAAAGCCAGGGGAGCAAACGGG